UACAGAGGGGGCAAGCGUUAUUCGGAAUUAUUGGGCGUAAAGGGCGCGUAGGCGGCCUGGCAAGUGGAAGGUGAAAUCCCUCGGCUUAACCGAGGAACUGCCCUCCAAACUGCUUGGCUUGAGUCCGGGAGAGGUGAGUGGAAUUCCCAGUGUAGCGGUGAAAUGCGUAGAUAUUGGGAGGAACACCAGUGGCGAAGGCGGCGCACUGGACCGGAACUGACGCUGAGGCGCGAAAGCGUAGGGAGCAAACGGG
Molecule: ribosomal RNA, 253 nt
Filed under: uncultured bacterium
Lineage: Bacteria
Description: partial 16S ribosomal RNA
Rfam family: Bacterial small subunit ribosomal RNA
Source: RNAcentral